GACUCACCGCCGGGCGGACGCAAGUCGGCGAGCCCGCGGUGGGGGUCCCCGCGCCGCCCAGGCCUACCCCGGCUCCUUGGGAUAGAUGGGGAAGCUGAGGCCCAGAAGGGGGCUGAGACCACCUCCCAGUUUCCCCAGUGAGGUGGCGCCUGAGCCACGGCCAGGCCCGGCCUCCUUCCACCCGGCCCUGCUGUGCGCGCGGCGGGUGCUGACCUGGCGAGGCCGGACAGGGGACCAGGUCGGGGUGACCGUCACUGACACCUGGACAGUCCUCGUUGUGUUCGGGGUGGGAAGCCCACGGAAGACAUCAACACAGGAGACUCCCAAGACUGCUGGGGCCAAAUGUGGCAGGUGGACGUCUCCCCGCCACCGAGCAAGCCAUCAGUUCUGCAGCGGACACCAGCCGAGUGUCCUCCAACACCAUUCCGGUACCUGCAGAUAGCGUCAGAUCCAGACACCUACACACACACACACACACACACACACACACACAUAUGCACACACAUGAGCUGCGAGGGCCAGCCUCUGGAACUUCUUACCGACUGGCCCGACGUUGAGGUUCCCACUGUUAGAGGAACGCUUGCUCACCAGGCCUCUGGUUUAAUGAAACAUGACCAGAGUGACUCCAUCUUGAAGUGAGUAGGAGGCACUCACAAGGCACCUAUAAGGUUAAUGCUUAUGGUCUAAAAAUAGCCAUGUCUCAAGCUGGACACCAAUUAUAAUUACAGAAUAUUUGUGGCCAUAUGGGGCAUCUCCCAGCAAGCCCGCAGACUGUCCAGAUGCAUAGUGAGUCUGGGGACCCAAGAUCUUAUUUUCCUUUCUGUCACCCCCGCUUGGUUUUGGAUUCCGUGACAGCUGGACCCGGCUUCUGCGUGAUCUUCAGAGGGAAGGCACCAGGAGUGGACUGCGGGACACCCAGAGUGGACUGCAGGAGGACACAGAAGCUAGGCUGAAGCGGGAGGAAGCUGGGAACCCUGCACGGGGCCACUGCGCACUGGGACUCGUUACUGGUCCCCAAGACUCAGGGAGAAUGGGUGAGUUGAACUGGCAAGGAGGAGCCCACUGUCAUUACGGGCCUCUGGAAUCCCGGCAGGAGGAGAUUAACCACAUGGACAUUCGAGGUGGCAGAGAGAGCUGCCUAGAGAAGGUGCGGGGGCAGCAGCCAGCUGAGGCAGAGCCCGGAGGGUUUGGUGCAGGAGCGUCUGUAGUGGAGGGCCAUCCCCCAGGCUCAAAUUCCUCCCAUAGGAGAUUUUAGCCCUAGGGGAGCUGUUGUAUGUGAUCUUUGUGGGGUGGUCUUGCCCAUCAGAUGGGGCCAGUCUGACCCGAGCAUGCCUUGGUCUGCUGGCCUCUCCCAGGGCCCCGGCCUGGCCACGCCUGCUUGCAGGGCAGCUCUGGGUGCCCUGGGGGCCUGCAGCAUAGCUUCUGCACUGGCAGACCAUGCCUGAUUGGUGGAGAGCUCCAGCAGGGCAGCCCCCACAUCCCUGUGCCAGCCUGCCCACUGCCUCCCACACUGUAGCUUCUCCAGGGCCCACUGUCACCCCCCAUCUUGCUUUUGCCAGUGCAUGUCUGUGCAGGUGGGUUUUGCUUUCCUUGCCCGCCAGUGUACCUGUGUGUUUGCACCCUGCCCUGCCAUUGCUGUGGCAGGAGUACCGUUUGCCCAACGCCCCCUGCUGACUGCCAUUGCAGUUGGAGCCUUGGCAGACACAGAGCCAGCCAGCCCCACCUCCCUUGCACCCCACUCUUGCACCAACACUGUUGCGGGAGUGAAACUAGGCACGGAAUAGGGACCACCCUGCCUGUGGGGCACAAAGAAUGCCACAGGCCUGGGCCUGCCGGUGCUCCACCUCCAUCCCAACACCACCGCCAGCAUGGCUGUUGCCAGCAGGGGGCCCUGCCCCCCAGGUGCUUUCGUCUGCCACUGUGGUGAACACCUGCACAGAGGCAGGCACCCCAGCACUUGCUAGCACCCUGCCACAGCCGAUGAACGUGCACCCUGUGCUGCUGCCACCACGGCUGCUGGCAUGUGCAAGCAAGAAUGGAUCCCGCUGCCACUGCACUGCAAAAUGCACUGGCUGGCACCACCUAUCAGAGUGUAGUGACCGGUAGUGAGGAGCACCUUGAUCCCUCAGUGCAGUUGAUUCCUAACCUCCGGGAGCCAGAGAACAAAGUUGGUGCCUGAUACAAGUACCCCAGUUAGAGCACACAGUCUGGGAGUUGGGAACUGAGCCUUGGCCCCCUAAAAUCAUCCAGAAACAAAGCCAGUCAGCUGAAUCCAACUUAUACUACAAUCAAAUCCUCAAGGUCAUCAAAUAGGAUAAAAGAAAAAAAAGGACAUAAUUGGAGACACUGGUUAUUUUACCAAAGCUUUGACCGGAAGGAUGUACUUUUGGAUACAAACAGACUGCUUUAAGGAGUCAAAGCUGACUUAUGAAGUUGGCCUCAUCCCUUGUCUACACAGUCACUGUACAGAGUUCCUUGCCUGUAGUAUGUAAAGAAUGUCACUUUCUGACAGGCUCAGGAGCCCCAAAUUAUCCUGGGACCUUGAGGAGAGGACAUUGCCCAAUUUAUAUAGGUAUUUUCAGGCACCAAUAAAUCAUGGCUGGGCUCAAGGCUUUAAAAAAAGUCAAAUCUGGGAUUCGUUAUAGAAUAAAGUUCCAGCAAAGCCAAUUUUAAGACAGGCCUAUAUGGCAAAUAAUUAUUCGUGCUGACAUUAUGCAAACACUCAGGCCAAGUAUAAGAUGAAAAAUUAUUUUAAAUAAAUUUGUCCUACUAUGAUUUGUCUUCAGUAAAAACAGGUACUGGGCUGGGCAUGGUGGCUCACAGCUGUAAUCCCAGCACACUGGGAGGCCAAGGCAGGCAGAUCGCUUGAGGUCAGGAGUUUGAGACCAGCCUGGCCAACAUGGUGGUGAAACACCAUCUCUACCAAAAAAUAUAAAAAUUAGCCAGGUGUGGUGGCAUGUGUCUGUAAUCCUAGCUACCCAGGAGGCUGAGGCAUGAGAAUUGCUUGAACCCAGGAGGUGGAGCUUGCCUGAGUCCUGGUAAGGCACAGACAGAAAGGGUUGUCAGCCAUUUUUUUCUGAGGUUAUAAGAUCUGCAACUUCCCCAGUUAUUUUCUGGGGCAACUCAAGCGGAGAUUCUGGAGACGCUCACAUCUGCUGGAAUGCAGGCUUUUCGUUCGUAGAAACAGCAAGCGGCCAUGAGUGUGAUUAAUUGGGAAUUGGAGUGACAUCCCUGCGGCUCCUGGGGAAAGAAGAUGAGACCUGGAUAUGAAGGGAAAGGAAUCCCCUGAAAUAGGGGCUCCCAGAAGACAGCUUCAAGAUUCAUGAUUGGGAAGAGUGUAUCACAGCCAUUGGGAACUUUCUUCACCCAUCAAAGCCUCAGGGCUGAAGCAUCCUGAACAAGAACUCAGGAGAGUGAAAGAAACAGUUACCUGUCGGCUGCAGCUGGUACCAGCUCCCCACCCCGUACAGAGACCGAAGCGUCCUCUCUCUCCCCAUCACCCAGCACCAGACUCUGCCCCGCGACCUCAGCCUGCACCUGCUUCCUGGCUCCAUCCAGCCUUCCAGCCUCACUAGAUCAUCAUGGGCCACUGGCCAACACACAGGGCAGUGCCGAGCCCAGGCCGUGGUCACACAUGGCUGGGUUAGUAGCUGAAAACAUUGUUUUUCACUGGCCUCACAGUAAUGGCACCUGCCCCCAUUUUCUGUGAUUGAAUUUUUGGAUCCUGCUACCAGGUUAUGAUAGAUUUUAUGGUAUGUCUCAAGAUAUUGAGAUAAAGGUAAUAAAACAGCUAUAAAGUCCUGGCUCAAGAAGUGUUACAAACCCAAGCAGGGUAAAUACAAGAAAACUGCACCCAGACACAACAUAGUAAAAUUGCUGAAAACCAAAGAUGAAUAGAACACUUAACAGUUGGAGGAAAAAAGCCACAUUACCUUCAUAAGGACACCAAUCACACUAACAUCUGACUUCGAAAUAGAAAUAUAAAAGCCAAACUACAAGGGAAUGUGAUCUUCAAAAUAUUGAAAGAAUUUAAUUGUUAAGUGAAAUAAUUAACUGCCAACCUAAAUUCUAUUCCUAGUGGAAAUACUCUCC
This 4092-nucleotide long non-coding RNA is filed under the name Homo sapiens (human). Its description in RNAcentral is "long non-coding RNA NONHSAT217776.1". Lineage: Eukaryota; Metazoa; Chordata; Mammalia; Primates; Hominidae. The record is from RNAcentral.